CUGAGGGCAGGGACGCCGGUGCUGCUCACUGAUCAAGCUUAGCAUGUGGUAGAUGCCCAAUGUGUGUUGGUGGAACGAUCACAUGAAUGAAUGACACUGGUCAAUCGGUACCAGUGAGGUGGGGUGUGUUCUCUGGCCUGAACCUGAAACCAAAGAAGCCACCAGCACAGAAGGCCCGCCCUGCUGGAGGCCAGAGAGGCCCUCACAGGGGCUCCCCUCUCUGGCGUCCUCAGAGACGCUCUGGGACACAGACUCAGCUGCCUAGAGGCCUGGACACUGCCUUAUCGGAAACAGCCCCAAUGUGAAAGCCACGUCCGCAGUCUCCGUGGAGCAAGUUUAAAUCUACAGCCGCUCAGCCGAGCCAAUGGCUCUCACAGAAUCGCUAAUAACACCCGUGGCAUUUUCACACACGCCAGCAAACAUGGGGGCCAGAUGGUCAGCCAGGCCCGCAGAGCAGCGUUCUCA
This is a long non-coding RNA of Bubalus bubalis (water buffalo), 465 nucleotides long. RefSeq lists it as uncharacterized. NCBI's taxonomy places the organism in Eukaryota, Metazoa, Chordata, Mammalia, Artiodactyla, Bovidae. The record is from RefSeq and is a predicted model, not a curated record. The transcript has 3 exons.